UCCCCCAAGAGUCCACAUCGACGGGGAGGUUUGGCACCUCGAUGUCGGCUCAUCACAUCCUGGGGCGGUAGUAGGUCCCAAGGGUUGGGCUGUUCGCCCAUUAAAGUGGUACGCGAGCUGGGUUCAGAACGUCGUGAGACAGUUCGGUCCCUAUCCGUCGCAGGCGUAGGAAAUUUGAGAAGACCUGUCCUUAGUACGAGAGGACCGGGAUGGACGUACCUCUGGUGUACCAGUUGU
Molecule: ribosomal RNA, 237 nt
Filed under: Clostridioides difficile
Lineage: Bacteria; Bacillati; Bacillota; Clostridia; Peptostreptococcales; Peptostreptococcaceae
Description: partial 23S ribosomal RNA
Rfam family: Bacterial large subunit ribosomal RNA
Source: RNAcentral